UCCCAGUCAGAUUCAUCCUUGGUGCCGUGCUGGACGUGACAAACAUGGUUUGUCCCUUCUGAGAUCAGGCUGAAAUUUGGCCCAUGGUGUAACACAGUUUUUGAGUCUCUUACUCAGCCUGGAGCUCACUGAUUCAGCAAGACCAGAUAACUUUCUGCCUCCGCUUGGCCGGUGCAGGAUUACAGAUGGUGUUUCUCUACGGAACUCUGGCUGUCGUGGAAUUCAUUCUGUAGACCAGGCUGUAGAACUCUGUAGGAUCUCUGCAGAAGUCAGAGAUGUGCCUACCUCUUUGCCUCCUGAGGAUAAAGAUGCAGAACUCUCAGCUCCUUCUCCAGCAUCAUGUCUACCUGCACACCACCACACUUCCUGCUGUGAGGAUAUGGACUAAACCUCCAAACUCUGAGUCAGCCCUAAUUGUUUUCCUUUAUGAAGUGGUGGUGGUGGUGGUGGUGGUGGUGGUGGUGGUGGUGGUGUCUCUUCACAGCAAUGGAAGAUACCCUGUCUCGAAACCAAAACAAACAACCCAAGACAACAAGAAGACUCGAGAAGCUCCAGAAAUGUACAAGAUUCAUAGCAUCCCCUCCCCCAAGAUCUUAAGAGCAGUAACCAAUUCCUUCUGAGAUAGAGCUUUCCUGAAGGCUAAGCUGUCUAUGAAUUGUGCCAAGAACCCUAGGAAUGCAGCUUUUCUGAGUUGUCAUCUAUGAGAGAGUGAACUUUUUGCUUAGGCAGCUUCCUUUCAUCACUCAUUCUUCUGUGAGUAAACUCCUCACCUAUGUAAUGUCAGUAAACUGGUAAA
Meriones unguiculatus (Mongolian gerbil) is the source of this 796-nucleotide long non-coding RNA. RefSeq lists it as uncharacterized. The record is from RefSeq and is a predicted model, not a curated record. The transcript has 4 exons. Lineage: Eukaryota; Metazoa; Chordata; Mammalia; Rodentia; Muridae.